This 533-nucleotide ribosomal RNA is filed under the name Kyklioacalles pyrenaeus. Its description in RNAcentral is "partial 16S ribosomal RNA". The stretch from base 382 to 533 matches the Rfam family "Bacterial large subunit ribosomal RNA", at positions 2473 to 2625 of the family's 2925-position model. Lineage: Eukaryota; Metazoa; Arthropoda; Insecta; Coleoptera; Curculionidae. The record is from RNAcentral.
GGCCUUUUGAUUAUAAUUUAAGGUCUAGCCUGCCCAAUGAUAAAAAUUUAAUGGCCGCAGUAUAUUGACUGUGCAAAGGUAGCAUAAUCAUUAGUUUUUUAAUUGAAAGCUGGUAUGAAAGGUUUGAUGAAAAAAAAACUGUCUCUAUUUAAAAUUUUAGAAAUUUAUUUUUAAGUUAAAAAGCUUAAAUUUAUAUUGAAGACGAGAAGACCCUAUAGAGUUUGAUUUAUGUAAAAAUAAUCAAAAUUUAGUAUUUAAAAUUUUAUUUUUAUAUAAAUUUAGUUGGGGUGAUUGAAAAAUUUAUAAAACUUUUUUUAUAUUUUUACAUUUAUUUAUGAUUUUAUGAUCCUUUUUUAGAUUAUAAGAUAAAAUUACCUUAGGGAUAACAGCGUAAUUUUUUUUAGAGUUCUUAUCGAAUAAAAAGAUUGCGACCUCGAUGUUGGAUUAAAAUUAAAUUUUUGGUGAAGAAGCUAAAAAAUUAGGUCUGUUCGACCUUUAAAUUUUUACAUGAUCUGAGUUUAAACCGGUGUAAG